RNAcentral lists this ribosomal RNA (446 nucleotides) under uncultured bacterium. RNAcentral describes it as "bacterial SSU rRNA". It matches the Rfam family "Bacterial small subunit ribosomal RNA", at positions 330 to 792 of the family's 1533-position model. The record is from RNAcentral.
CCCAGACUCCUACGGGAGGCAGCAGUGGGGGAUAUUGCACAAUGGGGGAAACCCUGAUGCAGCGACGCCGCGUGAGUGAAGAAGUAUUUCGGUAUGUAAAGCUCUAUCAGCAGGGAAGAAAAAAGACGGUACCUGACUAAGAAGCCCCGGCUAACUACGUGCCAGCAGCCGCGGUAAUACGUAGGGGGCAAGCGUUAUCCGGAUUUACUGGGUGUAAAGGGAGCGUAGACGGCAAUACAAGUCGGAAGUGAAAUACCCGGGCUCAACCUGGGAAUUGCUUUGGAAACUGUAUGGCUGGAGUGCUGGAGAGGUAAGCGGAAUUCCUAGUGUAGCGGUGAAAUGCGUAGAUAUUAGGAGGAACACCAGUGGCGAAGGCGGCUUACUGGACAGUAACUGACGUUGAGGCUCGAAAGCGUGGGGAGCAAACAGGAUUAGAUACCCCCGUA